CAGAUCACUGCACAACCUUUUUCAGAUGCAGAGACUUGCAAACCUGGCCAGCAAAAUGCUUAAGUUGUGAUCUGCAAUGGACUUCCCUGUGGUGAGGUGGGCCUUCAUGUUCUGAGUUCCUGAAAUGUUGGUGAAGUUUGAGAAAGGGAAGAGAAACCAUGCCACAUCAACUCUGCACAACCACUUCCACCAUGUAUCUAAGCAACAAAGCAGAUGCAGAGUACCAAAUCUCUGAAAAUCACACCUAUAAUUUAAUCUUACCUAUCAGUUGGAUGAUUUGCAGCCUGAUCCCAGGAAAGCUGGAGCUUGUUGGUGUGAGACUCAUCUAUUUUACAAUGCUUUCCUGGUACACAGGGAGUAACAUGCCAACUCUUCCCAUGCUGUUCCAGGUAACUCCUUUAGCCAUGAUAAGAAGUGUUGUCCAAGAAACUGGGAUUAUAGCCCUCAGAAAACAAACAAAACUUCUUACAAGGGAGCAUCUGAGAAAUUUCUCCUGGAAGGUGACUAAUCUCUGCAUCCAGUUCAAUAACCUAUAACAUCAUGGGUAGGUGUGAGUGCAGAAGCAUGUGGAUUACUGCCCAGUUCUUCAAGAAUGCUGAGAAAAAAAUGCAGAAAUUAGAGAUGGAUUCUAGGAUCUGUAAAUUGAGCAGGUUUGAUAAGUAGGCCAUGGGACCCCAGGCAGAUGCCAGCACUCAGUAUUAUGCAUCAGUCCGUGGCUCACAUUUUUCAUUUGUUUGACCUUGCCCUAAUUUUUUAUCAGCUGAUCAUCAGUUAUGAUUUAUUGAAAAAAAUAAAAAAUAAAAGACAAAGAAAGACUGUGAUAAC
This 825-nucleotide long non-coding RNA is filed under the name Numida meleagris (helmeted guineafowl). RNAcentral's name for it is "lncRNA (ENSNMEG00000007398.1)". The record is from RNAcentral. Lineage: Eukaryota; Metazoa; Chordata; Aves; Galliformes; Numididae.